CAAGCGCCUGUCUCUUUAAAUGCCACGGGCUGCGCUCCCGCCCGGCAGCCCGGAGCCGGAUCUACAAUCCCCUCCCUCCCGCCCCGGCGCUUGUUGCUCGCCCGGCCCGAGCGGGAGCUGCCGCCGCCUGGCAGCGAGGCUGCCGCGCUCUCCUGCUCGCGCCCCACCUCCCCCAGAGCCGGCCGAGGGGGGCAGCCGCCCCGGCCGGAGGGAGGGGACGCGGUGUGAACGGGAAUUGCCCCCACCUUCAAGUCUUGGGGUGCACCGCAGCCGCUGGGGGAAGAUAUGCGUCGCUCCCCCUUGCCCAGCCUUGCUGCCGCUGGCGCCGGGAGAGGAGGGACUGCGGAGCCCUCACCUGCAAACUCGCCCUAGAACUCUCGGGGUGCGGCGGGGGCCCCUCCUCAAUCCCCACGGCCUUCACCUCUCAGCGGGCGAGUUUGCUCAGGUGGCCUCAGCCCCUGUACGGGGACCUGUGCCAAUGACCCCAGUGGUGGUUUCGCUUUCUCCUCUCGCGGCGGUGUGAACGUGUGUCCGCAACGUGAUGGGCAACCAGGUGGAGAAACUGACCCACCUAAGUUACAAGGAAGUUCCCACCGCCGACCCGACUGGCGUGGACCGGGACGACGGGCCCCGCAUUGGGGUCUCCUACAUCUUCUCCAAUGACGAUGAGGACGUGGAGCCGCAGCCUCCUCCCCAAGGGCCCAAUGGCGGCAGCUUGCCCGACGGUGGGGAUGGCCCUCCGCUCCCCCAGCCGCAGCCCUACGACCCGCGGCUGCACGAGGUGGAAUGCUCCGUGUUCUACCGUGACGAGUGCAUAUACCAGAAGAGCUUCGCGCCAGGCUCGGCGGCGCUGAGCACCUACACCCCCGAGAACCUACUCAACAAGUGCAAGCCAGGCGACCUGGUGGAGUUCGUGUCGCAGGCGCAGUACCCGCAUUGGGCAGUGUACGUGGGCAACUUCCAGGUGGUGCACUUGCACCGGCUGGAGGUGAGCAACAGCUUCCUGACAGACGCAAGCCAGGGCCGUCGCGGACGCGUGGUCAACGAUCUGUACCGCUACAAGCCGCUGAGCCCCAGCGCGGUGGUGCGCAACGCGCUGGCGCACGUGGGCGCCAAGGAGCGCGAGCUGAGCUGGCGCAACUCGGAGAGCUUCGCCGCCUGGUGCCGCUAUGGCAAGCGCGAGUUCAAGAUCGGCGGUGAACUGCGCAUUGGCAAGCAGCCCUAUCGGCUGCAGAUUCAACUCUCGGCGCAGCGCAGCCACACGCUGGAGUUCCAGAGCCUAGAGGACCUGAUCAUGGAGAAGCGGCGCAACGACCAGAUCGGCCGCGCGGCCGUGCUGCAGGAGCUUGCCAUGCACCUGCACCCGGCCGAGCCAGACGAGGGCGACAGCAACCUGGCUCGGACUACGCCGCCUCCCGGGCGCCCCCCUGCGCCCAGCUCUGCGGAGGAGGACGGAGAGGCGGUGGCACACUGACCCGCGCGCGAGCUGAUGGCAGAGCUGCGAAAGGGGCUGUUUGCAGCAGCCGCCGCUGCCCCCUUCCUCCCUUUCUCCCCUCCUUCCUUCGCUUCUCCGCCACCUACUGGGCCCCAUCUGGGAUUCCUGGGCCCUUUGGAAAACGGAGAGUUGAUGAAACGCGCAGCUGGCUGUGGACAGGGGUGGAGGAAGGGGGCAGAGGGAUCAGGUUUGAAGAAAUAUCAUAAAUAAUGGUAUAUACACAUACAUGCCAACAAGCCAAGUGCAUCAUUUCAUCUGAAUUGUUUUGGUUUCUCCCCAUCAUGACAACCUAAGAGGUGAAGCUCUGGCUAUUGAUGUCACCAUAAAGGUCGUAUUCUAACACUGUCUUUGGAGAAGUUAUUUGUCACAAGGAAUGGUCUUGAUUAGGCCCAUUCACUGGGCUCUGAGCAGGAGCAGAACAGCCCACAGGAAGUGUGUUGUUCGUGUGAUUGCAUUGAUGGAUCCAGAGAGGCAGCCACUGGGCCAUAAGUCAGUUAUGCUCCUGCAGUGGAGACAUGAGUGUUCCAGCAACCUAUUAGUGCAAUCCCUGGGUCCUGUGCAUCCUGCCAGCCACUGCAUUGAGAAUUGACCACAGAGAACUGAAGGUAGAAGCGAGCAGACCAUUAGGAAGUGACUGCAAUCAUCUAGCAAGAGAUUGUGGUGACUCAAACAAGGUUUCCAACCAUUAAAGGCAUUUAUUUGAACAUUCAAGGGAGAUGUCCAAACAUGUAAACCACCCUAUGAAGUAGGUACUACUAUGAUCCCCAUUUUGCAGAGAAGGAACCAGUAAACGAGAGGUUAAGUAACUUGUCCUUGAUCAUCCAGCUGUUAAAGUGGUGUAGCUUGGAUUCCAAUAAUACACGUGGAUGUCUUUCUAAAAUGUCUCAUCAGAUCCUGUCUCCUGGGAUGGCAUCUCUUGGUCUCCUUCUCUAAUGAUUGCCUUGACCCGGCUCUCGGAUAAAGAAAUUUUCUGCAUUGAUGUGAGGUCUUGAGACAGAGCUUUUCUUAUGCAGUUGGAGGAAUUAUUAAUUAAUGGAUUCAGAGUUCCAGCUGGGGAUGAUGGAGCAUAGUGAUGGUUGCACAACAAUGUGAAUGUACCUAAUUUAAUGACACUAAACUAUAUACAGAAAGUUGGAUAAAAUGGUAAAUUUUAUGUUAUAUAUAGUUUACCACAAUUUAAAAAAUAAACCAAAGACAGAGCAAUAAACAAACAACAGGAAAAGGAGACUCCAUGUCACUUUCUGAGAAUACAUGCUUUGCGAAGGAAGAGGUUUUGUCUGUUCUGUUUGCUGUUCAGGACAGUGCCUGGCAAAUAUAGGUGCUUAAUGAAUAGCUUUUGAAUGAAGAAAUGAAUAAUCCUCACCGCAAUCAUCCCUAGGGGCUUGGCUCUAUUUUUAUACCUAUUUUAAGAAUGUGAAAACUGAGGCUGAGCAAAAUGGAGCAAGGUACCUGGAGCCUUCCACUAGCAGGAGGCAGAGCCUAGUCGCAUGAUAGUGAAAUGGUUAUGGAGUUUGGAAAGCCCACCACUGAGUAUGAUAGCAGCAGUAGAGGCUGAUAAUUACUCACAUGGACUCAGGAGCCAGUCUUCUUCAGUUCAGUGCCCAGCUCUGCUGUUUGACCUUGGGCAAAGUAUUUCACCUCUCUCGGCAUCAGCAUUCCCCAUCUGACAGUGGGAGAUGAUAAUAACACUGCAAUUACACCAUAAGGUGUCUAUGAGGAUUAAAUGAAUUAAUACAGGGACAAUACUUAGAACAGUGUAGCGAGUGCUAUUAUAAAUAUUACAGAUUAUUAUAUUUUAUUUUUUCUUUAACUUGGAACUCAUAUACACCUGGCUGUCAUCCUCUGCUUCUACACAGUGGUGUUUUGCAUUUUCCAAAUGUGUCCAAACCUUGACAAUGUAUUUGUUUACACAUAUAUUUAGCUAAUGUGUGUGGGUGUGUAUGAAAUUACCCAUUAUGCAAAUGGCUUUGGUUUAGUAAGCAGAAUAUGCCUGGAUACGGUUAAUGGAAAAUUGUUUUGUGUAACUUGGAAAACAGAAGAAUCAUAAAAGAAUCCUCUGGAGAGACAAUCUGAUGAAGGUGUAACCAAUACAUUUGCAGAUUUUUGUUUUUAAAUAAUAACCAGCCACUAAUGGCCCAGAGCAGAACAUUGAUUUAUGUGCAACAAGGUGGGCUGUGUUUCUCUGCCACGUUGCUGGCUGUGGUCCUAGGUAUUAAGCUGCCUUUUUAAAACCCAAGAUCUGUCAAUCCAGCUUUCAAGAAGGAAGCUUUGAAAUAGUGAGGAGGCUUUGUCAUUUGCAUGGAUGGGAUCUGGAAGAUUUUUUUGUGCUUUGUUUGGUAGGCACCCUUUACAUUUUGCUGAGCUAGAAUCUUGCCCGUUAUACAUUGUGCAGUCAAAUGCCUUGGCAGACUGGUGAGGCUCUGAAACUCUUUUAGAGAGAAGGCUCUUGGAGUUGGUCCUUCCUCGGGUGCCCUCUGGUGCCUCAGGGAGACGUGUCUUUGAUCUCUGCAAAUCUCCCUCCAGUCUGGACAUACUGGCCCCUCCAUGCUGGCUGAGAACAGACAGCAUUAUCCAGUGUAAGUAGAUCUAGUGGAACAAAUCCCUGAGGAAACUUUUUAAAAAAUGCCUGCAAGGCAAUAUCAAAACCAAAGCUUUUCCCCAGAAUCUUCAUUUUCCAAAAAACUAAACUUGCUUGGUAUACAGAUGUCAGAAGAUAUUCUUAGUUAAGCCUAAAUGGAAAAAUCUUCCACCCAUUCGUUCAUUCAUUCAUUUAUUUACUUAUGCACUCUACAUUAUUUAUCGUGGGCCCACUGCUAGGUAUUUUGCUAGGCAGCAGAGGGGCAAGGUAAGUAUACAGCUAUUAACUAUGACAAAAGUACUUUCAUCAUUAUUUUCGUUAUGAAAGCUGAGAUUUAAAAGCAGUCUCCCAAAAGAAUCCUCACAUCUCUAUUCCACAAAUCCACGUUAAGUAUAUAUUCAACACACCCACAUUAACCCACAUUUUGCUGGAAGUUGCACCAAACAUUAGGAGUAUAUGGAUGUGUUCCCCAAAUCUUAAUGAGAGGAGAGAGAGUUAUACCAAAAUAGGCAUAAUGUACAUAUUUAAAGCUAUCUUCUAAUGAGUCCAUUGUAAUUUUAAGGUGCUCCCUCCCUCAGUUGUCCAGCCCUCAUCCCCAGGACUGUGAAUAAAAUGUGGUAUCACACUUGUGGUUAUGCACAUUUCAUGGCAAAAGGGAUGUUGCAUGUGUAGUUAAGGAUACUAAACAGUUGACUUUGAGUUAGUCUAAAGAGCGAUUAUCCUGUUGGACACCAAGCUUACCACUUUAAAAGGAGAAUUCCUCUAUCUGGGAGUAGAAGAGGAGUUCAUAGGGGAAGGCUUUGAUUUAAGCGAGGUUUUCUGUUGCUGAGAUGGAGAGAAUCACAGAGCAAGGACCUGAGAGCAGUCUCUAGAUGUUGAGUGUGGUGCAUAGCACCACAGCCAGCAAGAAAACAGGGACCUCAAUCCUGCAACCCAAGGAAUUAAAGUCUUCCAACAGCCUACAUGGAGCUUUGAAGCAGCUCCUUUCCCAGAGUCACCAGAGAAGAAUCCACCCGCCUUGAUGCUUAGACAUCAGACUUGUGAUUCUCUAAACAAAGAACCUGGUUGAACCUGCCUGGACUUGGGACCUUCAGACUAUGAGACUACAAAUAGGAAUUCUUUUAAGCUGCUAAGUUUCUUGUUAUUGAUUGUGCAGCAAUAAAAAAAAUGAAUAUGUCAUCUUUGGUUAUUCUGCAUUUUUGUAGAUAGUUUGUAGUUAAGUUGUCUUAAAACUUGAAUGGAUGCUAAGAGACCUAUGUGGUUCUUUAAAUUGAUAACAAAAUGACCUGCUUAUAUUUGUACAACCCCAUUUACAAGUGCUUUUGCAUACAAUUUUCUUAUUUGAUUUUCACAGCUUUUGGGGAAUCUGUAUACCAGUUAAAGAUGAAGAAACUGAAAACUGAGGAUAGAUGCGCUAUGAUGUGCUGACUAACCAUCCGGGAGUCUUGAAGAGUAGAAGUAAAAAAGUGCAAGAGUGAAUUAAAUUUGAAAUUUGAGCAGCAAUUCUGCCAUCAUCAUUUAAUCAGAAAAUUUAGGGUUAAUGUGGGAGGGCCUAACCCAUCUUUUGGUUUCUGUUGCAAUCUGCCCCUACACAAACUGUUAUCAUGGGAAUAGAAUCACGUGGGCGUGACAUCCCCUCCCAUCCAGAGCAUCCUAUGCACAGAUGAGGCUCUAAGGAGUUAUGGGAGGGCCUGAGAAAGGAUAUUUUCUGACCUGGGUCAUUUCUGGAAAGCCUGCUUCUGGAGGGUUUAGAGGCUGCUAACUGUUGGAGCUUGUCUUGAAGCCACAUUUUUAUGGAAGGCCUGCUGUUUGCAUUUAGAUUACAGCAAUACGUGGGGUGGGUGAGGGACAACUGCCCCUUCGUACCCCCAGCUCAGCCAUCACUCUGUGCAUCAUUGUUGAUAAGCCACUGUCUCCUUGCCUGUGUAUCUGAGGACACUCUUGGUGUGCGGUCCCCACAGCUACUUUUUUGAGCCAGUUGGAAGGAACCUGGAGCCAGUAGCUUUUGCCCUAUUUGGUUGAUACGAAAAGCAAGGCCAGUCAACCAGAGACUCCUAGUUACAGAUGGAAUCGAUGAUGGAAACGGAGAGAGUACUGACGAGUUCUCCGUGUUUGGUAUACAUGUGAUGAGGGGAAAAAAAGCCCAAAUUUAAAAAAAAAAAAAUCCAUUAUGCCUAUUUCUUUUCUAUCAAAAACAGAUUAAAAAAAAAUCAAAGUCCCAUCUGCUCUGUGUCAACAUUAGAGAUCGUACAUUGUGUUUUAUCAAAGGCAGGUUUGCCAUGGCGGCGGGGGUUGUAUUUUUGAAACGUGCUUGGAAACCCAGAGCAGCUGAAAACAGAGCUUGGCACCUCUAGGCCUUUUCCCGCUGCCCCUGUUUGUGUUCCUCCAGCGCUUGAUGUUUUUAAUUGAUUUGUUUGACCAGACGUCCCUGGAAAAAGACAAGCAGGUAAGGGCAGCCGGAGCCUCUGGGACAAACACAGGGAAGGGCUCAAGGCUUUCAGCACAACAGGGCAGUUUUCUUGAAAGAAUCUGUUCUCUGAGCACACAGCAAUGGCCACUCGCCCUGCAAUCCCAGGCAUUCACAUUGAGGGCCGUUGGCUAAAUCUGUUCAUGAGCUAUGCCAGGGUAGAGAUCCAGUCCUGGAGCCUCCUUUCUGUUCUCCUUCAUUUGCUCUGCAGGGCCACCCUCGGUAUCGACUGGACAGCUGGUAAGCGCAGGCAGGCUUGCUCCUAAUUGCUUGGCUUCCAGGCCAGAAGGGAAAAAAGCAGACAAAGCCACCUACCACUGCACUCUGGCUGCUCUCCCUCCCUGCCAUGACCACUGUUUCCAAUGUCCCUCCCACACUGCUCUAGUUACUCUGAGGAUAAAACAUGGUGCUAUGUGAUGAUGAAAAGAAAAAGGCUCCUGUCCCAUUCACAGCCUUCAAUAGUUGUUGCUUUCUGAAUGCAUAUUGCUGCUAGUGGGAUCAUAUUGCUGCUCCUGAAAAACAAUGCUGGCCUCUUCUUUAACUAGAGGUAGUGAAAAUAGUCCUGAAGGAGAUCUCUGUUCAGGGGAGAGUCAUCGAAUGACUCCUUCAGUUGCAUACAUUUAGAAUGAACAGGUAUCCAUGAGGAGUAGCAGUGAUUGAGAAGGGUACGAUCUUGGUCAAGGUGUUAAUCACCCGGAUGACUGCCAUGCAAAACUCAUGGGAGGGCCAGUCUGCAAUAAGAGUCCAAGGAUAAAAGGAAGCUAGGAAGAUGGGCCAGGAUAGAGACCAGGGUGGUCUAGCCAAAGCCUAGUGAUAAAAGAAAUAAAAAAGACCCCCCACAUAGUUGCUUAGGUAGGUGGCCCAGGCUCACAGAAGCACUCUUAAGUACAGGGAGAUGGGAAGAGUGGGUUUUGGCAAAGUAAUAGCUGAAGCGGCACCAGGGCACACUGGGUAACCUUUGGAGCUAAGUGGCUGAGCUUGUAGCUCAACAUGGAGCUUCUCUGUGCUCUGGCCAGUGACCUAGAUCAAAAAGGUCAUCUCAGUAGCAGUGGACAUGCAUCAACCAUCAAGUUAUGCAGAGCACAACAUGGCAGCAAGAAGAAAUGACUGUUGACAGAUGAAACCGCAAUUUUUUUCUUUCCUUGCUAUUUAGAAGCAGAAGCAAAACUACCUCACUCCCCUCCUGUCCCCUUUAGAUACAAUGGACAUGCUGAUACACUUCUACAACAAUUGCUGGGGAGACCUCAAGUCUUUGUCUUUUUGCUAAUAGGCUAGGUGAAUAUUCUUUUGAUUAUUUGGAAAAAUGAAAGAGCUGUAACCAUAUUUGGAAGUCACAUUGAAGUAGGCAUAUUUUAUAGUUUCACCUCACAUACUCUGAGCUUGAAAGUGAAAUUUAUAGCUGCAUUUUAAGAGUUAUUUUAGGAAAAAAAAUGCCGUCUUUUGCCUUUUCUAAUUGAAAUCUCAUCUUCUCUAUCCCCAAAAUAUUUUGUACUGGGGAAAGUGUAUUCUGAGAUAUUUCUGACCCCAAAGAGAAUAGGUAUGAAAAUCGGAGCGAGCCACGUCUUUCAAAGGACAUUUUUGUGGGGAUUGGUUCCAAAGCCUAGUUGUCAUCUAAAGAAUGUACUGACUGUUGCUACAUUCCUGGAAUUCCUCAAGAGACUUAAGCUGGAGACCCUCCACUAGAGAUCACAGUUCUCAGGGCAGAGCUAAGACCCAGGCUUCUGGGAGGAAAAUCGUGGCUGUGGGGAUUAAAGGGACCCUCAUUAAGUUUGCAUUACUGAAAGUGAUUUAACUUGAAGUUAUAUUGAAUCAGACCACCACUGCUAAAUGGGUGCAAUGGAAUGUUCCUUGGUGCCACUUUAUGGCAUUGGUGGGGUGGGGGAUGGGUAGGGCAGUGCAGCGCUGAAUAGUCCGCAUUUCAUUGUAUGGUCAGUGAACUCUUGGUGUGUUCAUGUUGGAACCAAGGCUGUAGUGGGCUUGAUGUGGUUUGGUAAAUGUUUUCUGUGGGCUAUAAUUAUCGAUUCUUCAGGAGAACAAUGCCCUUUUUAAUUAUAAUUUUCAAUCCCUAGUGCUUAGUAUUAAGUGUUUAUCAAAUGAAAGAAAGAAUGAAUGAAUAUUGAUUAUUCAGUCAGGGUUUCAGUCCAUGCUACAUCAUAUUGACUUUAGUUAUUCCGAUGUCAUUACUCUGAUAGUGAGUCUUAACUUUUUUUUUAUCUUCCUCACUUGUGAUGAUCUAUUUUACAUAUCAGUUUUUCCAGACUAGCCUUCUUAAGGAGAAGAGUUAUAGCCACGUCUUGUUCGGCUCAAUAGCUUAAUGUUCAGCAACUGGCCACGUUUGCUACAGUUCACGGUAAGAACAUGGACUCUGGAGCUAGAUUGCCCAGGACUGCAUCUUGAUUCCUUGAUUUCCUAGCUGUGUGAUCUCAGGCAAACUGUCUGUGUCUCAGAAUAAAAUUAGAUAAUGUUAUCAAACAACAUAGAGUUGGUUGGGAAUUAAAUGACAAAUACAUUUAAAAUGCUUGAGACAGUGAUAUAUGCUCAGCAAAUAUUAACAAUGACUAUUUUCCUUAUUAUCAUUGUUGAUAAUAUACAUUUGUCAAAUAAACACAAAUGCUUUAUCUCAUUGAACCUGUUUUCUUGUCUAUAAUAUAGGGCUAUAAUGUAAUAACAAUAAUACUCUGAAGGGCUGUUAUGAGGAUCAAAUGAGUCAAAAUGAAACAAAAAGAAUCAAAAUGUCUUUUUGAACACCUUCAAGGAGAUUACAACUCUCUGGUACCAUUAUUUCUAAUAUGAACUGUAGCAUAGAAAGAAGUGAUUUUUGUAUAUUUCCACAGUAUGAAUGAGGCAGGGCUGGGCUGGAAUAUUCUUGGUUCUUCUCUGAGUGCCCAAAGUACUGCUUAGCUGUGAUGUAAAUGCUAAGGGCCUCUGGGAUUACGGUGCUUUUUUCAGUAUUUACACUAAGGUACAGCCACGGGUCCUUCAGCAAAGCACUGUUUUCAUUGAAGCUGCCCUGGUUUUACUGUCCUUAGCCUUGCCCCCCUUAUCCAAAUGUCUGACAACUCUCAGAGCUGCCCUGGUUCUUGAGAAGCAAGACGUGAAUAGUCAGCUCUUUAUUUGCAGACUGGAUGUUCUAUGCACAGAUUUUAUCAGGUGCUAUUGAGAACCCAGAAAAACCACACAAAAGCAUAGACUAGGAGUCAGAACACAUGAAAUGAAGGCAUCAUAUUUACCAUUAACAAAUCCUGGUGCCCUGGAUAAGCCUACGGAUAUUAUUUGGGAUUCGGUUUCCAUAUCUACAAGGUAAAAGCAGUUAGAUCAUUUCUAAGAUUCCUGCCUUAGGAGUCAUGAGUCCUUUGUUCUACUGGUGCCUCUGCUGUUCUCUUGCACCGUGACUUUGACUUUGGUCCGAUCACAGCUUCUCUUUGAUCCAUAGUGUCCUCAUUUGCACAGCGUUGUUUCCCUCCUACUAUGCUAGUCACUGCUCCAUUUAAUCACAACACUCACAUACACACACUCACACAGACAUAGGCACACACUAAGUGUCAAUGCUUAUUGUGUGCAAAAACCUAUAGCUCAGAGCUUGGUGUGCAUGUUUUAAUGUAACCUUUAAUAACAGCUUUAUGAGGAAGGAAUUUUUGUCCUAAUUUUACAGAUGGGAGAACUGUGAAAGCU
Non-coding RNA from Microcebus murinus (gray mouse lemur), 10212 nucleotides. NCBI's taxonomy places the organism in Eukaryota, Metazoa, Chordata, Mammalia, Primates, Cheirogaleidae. The record is from RefSeq and is a predicted model, not a curated record.